Molecule: ribosomal RNA, 253 nt
Filed under: uncultured bacterium
Lineage: Bacteria
Description: partial 16S ribosomal RNA
Rfam family: Bacterial small subunit ribosomal RNA
Source: RNAcentral
GACGGAGGGGGCUAGCGUUAUUCGGAAUUACUGGGCGUAAAGGGCGCGUAGGCGGAUUAGUAAGUUGGAAGUGAAAGCCCAAGGCUUAACCUUGGAACUGCUUUCAAAACUGCUAGUCUUGAGUAAAGUAGGGGGUGAUGGAAUUCCUAGUGUAGAGGUGAAAUUCUUAGAUAUUAGGAGGAACACCGGUGGCGAAGGCGUUCACCUGGACUUUAGCUGACGCUGAGGCGCGAAAGCGUGGGGAGCAAACAGG